RNAcentral lists this non-coding RNA (22 nucleotides) under Rattus norvegicus (Norway rat). Lineage: Eukaryota; Metazoa; Chordata; Mammalia; Rodentia; Muridae. The record is from RNAcentral.
CUCCGUGCCUUCCAGGUGAGCC